GUGGCUGUUUUAAAUCCAAUAAAACUCCAAUCAAUCCUAAUCAUAUUAGGACCAGAUUAGACCCAAAUAAAUAAAAAAUUAAAUCUGAUUUAAAAAAUAAACUAUUUAGAUUAGAUAUCACCUAAUUGGAGAAGAAGUUCUAGUCCUUUUAGACUCUUGCUUGGUGCUUGAGUCAAACUCAAUUUAAUCCUAAUCCAAUUAGGAUUUG
This 208-nucleotide long non-coding RNA is filed under the name Elaeis guineensis (African oil palm). Its description in RNAcentral is "long non-coding RNA (EGUI_LNC048862)". The record is from RNAcentral. Lineage: Eukaryota; Viridiplantae; Streptophyta; Magnoliopsida; Arecales; Arecaceae.